This is a long non-coding RNA of Corvus hawaiiensis (hawaiian crow), 4832 nucleotides long. RefSeq lists it as uncharacterized. The transcript is spliced from 4 exons. The record is from RefSeq and is a predicted model, not a curated record. NCBI's taxonomy places the organism in Eukaryota, Metazoa, Chordata, Aves, Passeriformes, Corvidae.
GCUGCCGAUUCAGGCGCCGCGGGGUAAACACGGCGAGAACUCCACGUAAAGUUUCGGACUCUUCUGUGCUGGAUGCAGCCGAGGGGGCAUUUCAGAAAACGAUUUACAGAUUUGUUUCACAUUCUUCUAGAGAUUUCACUCAAAUGCUCUGGUGACACGUCUUGGGAUAUUAGCACAAGACCAGAGGUGAAGGGAGACUCACAGUAAUUCAGGCUGGGCAUAACUUCAUGCUGCUUACAACAAUGAUGGAUUGUCUGCAAUGUAACCACCUGACCUCAGCUAAAUCUACCAAUUAACUGCAUACCUGUUUCCACAUCUCCCAGCUAAAUGGUUACUAUUAGUUACAGCCUGUCGGGUAAUAACAAUAAUUAAUACACGCACUUAACUCCUUUCCUUUACUGAGCCCAAAGCUCCUCACAAAGGCCACUUCUGUUGUAUAAAUGGAGGAAACUGAGUCACAGUAUGAUCAGCAAAGUAGUAAGGAUUGGAAGUGGAGCUACCUUAUUAUCAGUCCAAUCCUUUGUCUUCUAUACAACAGAUUGACCAGGUGGAUCUAAUCCCCAGAGGAUCAACUAAAAAGUGUCACCUUCCCAGCACAAGUCUCUUAAGGAGGCUUUAAUCUAAAGGAAUGAAAUUCAAAGAGAUGAGGUGAGACAGAAAAAGAACUUGCAAGAAGGAAAUUAGAAAGAGGUCAGAGGAAAUUUCUCUUGGGAUUGUAAUAGAGAUUUGCACGCCAAUGAGUGGCUAAGGCAAAUGAGAGAGACAAUCUCGAUGUCUCAUUUAGGCAGAUGAUUAUCUCUGAAUUGUGAUGAGUGGCCAGUGAGUGAUACUGAUGUGCCUAGUGGAGCACACCUUAUACACUGUGAGUACACUACACCUGCAGAACUCUUCAGCAAAUGCACACAAGAGUCAGUCAUGGAGAGAGAAUUCUGGAUCCAACCUGAAGACCACAGGCACAUUUCCCUGUUGUGGGUGGAUACAGGACAGAGACAUACAGUAUAAGCCUUCCCCUGAGCCCUAUUAUCCAGAAUUAUCACUUUAGGAGAUUCCAACAACAGCAGAAACUGCACCUGAUCCCUUACUUUUAAUAAGUAAUAAUGCAGUAGCACUUUUAAUGGACCUGUCUUCCCAAAAUUUGUCUAAUCUGUAUUUAUACUUUUGGUGUCUGAGGCGUGCUGUGAUAGUCAAGUUUACAAUCUGAUUAUGUGUACUUUUGAAUACUCCUGGUCUGCGCUUAUCUGAGAGAGACAUUUUAAAUCGCUGUAAUCUAAUCUUGCUGCCAGCCAUCUUUUUGCCACAGAUGAUGUGAUGAUUGAGCCGUCAGAGAUAAGAAACCGGAGUCUUUGGCACAAAAGAAUAAUCCCCUGUCCUUUGAUGUAAGGGAUAGCUUUCUCUUUUGGGAGCAGGGACCGAGCUCGUAUACUCAGCCAAAAAGAAGCUGGUGUGAUGUGACUGAACUCCAUGGCUGUGCCCAUGAGAAAGGAAAGGCUGCACUCGUGGUAUCCUGACCUGAAACACCACCUGAUCUGACAUUUCAGUACUGCAUGUCCAGCUCCAACAUCUGGUGAGAAGGUGUUUUCCGUGAGAGCUGCUACACUGCCUGGUCAGGAGACUGUUCUUGUGUUUCACAUAGCCAAUAUUGCCUGGGGAAAGGGGAUGUGAGCAAGCCGUGGGAGCCAUGGAACAGGAGGCAAUCACGGGCAGUAUAAAACAUGAUACCAUGAGAGUAAAUGAAAAUGGCAGGUUUUAGCUGACCUCUUCACCCUUUGGCAGGGGUUUUCCUCUUCACCAGGAGGAACUACCUCAAAGGCAGAUAUCUGCACAUACACAAGAGUGUUGCGGGAGGUUCUUGCUUCUGGGUUCAGGAAGAACAAGCAGGAAUCUAGUGAAGGGAGUAGAUACCAGUGCUAGGUAUCUGUUGCAGUGGAGCAAGCAUCUUCCUCAGGAUUUAUAUAGCCUUGAGAAGAGAAGCAGGAACAGCAUGAAACGUGGAUGAGUGCACAAAACUUCACUCAGGACUGGGCAGGUUCUGAGACAGGUGGAAAUAUGGGCUUGGUCAAGGACAUAAAUCCUUAUGACAGGGAUUGCAAUAAUCUGCCAUCUGCAGGAAUCCUUUCGCCUGGAGUGUUUCACACUUGCAAUCAGAGACUACUUGUGAAAAAUGUGGUCUUGAGAGACUUCCUGGCUCCACAAUAUUCCUGUCUUCUGAAACAUGCUAGACGAUGUACCCUGCGUGAUGGAAGCACCUCAGGGACUAUGCCAGCACUGCCUUUACUGUGCUGGAGUAGGAAGGGAGAAAUGGGAAUGAAAGAGGAUACAGAGAAGGAAACAGAAUUGGGUAGGCUUAACCAGCUGAGUUUUUAGUAUAAGGCAGGGGCAUAAUAUAGCCUGGCCUUUUGUGAAUCUGAAUGUCUUUUAGACAAAGGAGUAUAAUCUUUCCCUAGUAAAUAUUUGUAUAAUCAGGAUUUUGUGAAUCUGCACUCAUUUUAAAUCAUCAGUUUUCUCAGAGAAGACUGUGUAAUGAAGGGAGACCAAGAAGAACACUGCUCCAUUGAUUCCUAUCAAGCCAUGAGGAUACUGAACUUUAGUCAUCACUGGGGAAGUUCUCCUGACAUUCUCUCAGCUCUGGGUUUAUCUGCAUUGACAGGACAAUAAAAAUUCUUGUCUAUCACUCUACUGCCAUCACCUUUGGCUCCUGGACUUGGUUGUGGAAGAAUUUAAUGGAGUUCUGCCCUCUCUUCUCGUGCCUUGCUCUUUCCCUUGGUUCACAGGGAAUGGUGACUGGCAUUAACAUCCCUGCACUGAGCCAACCCUGACAAGCUGUUGCUGCUACAAGAUGUCCAGCAGCUCAGCCCCUGCCAAACAGAGCCAUUGAUCCUCCAGCUUGUGCCAGUUCAAAGGAGCACAGGAUGCAUAUCCAGCUUUGUGGAAGGGCUGACAAGUGGUUUGGGGCAGGUGAUUGGCAUGGACAUCAGUGAGCAACACUGAAGGCAGGGAGAGGACUGCACUCGGGAGAUCUUUCUGGCUGGUUAUAGUUAUUAGCUUUUGACUGGAAAAGCGCUGUUUUUUAUUUAUUCAGUAAUCUAAAAAUAUCCUGGUAAUGAAUUAACCUGAAUAGGGGGAGGGGGACAAAAAAAACGCAUAUUGAUUUUCUAAAAGCAGGCAGGAAUGCUGUUAUUUUCCAAUUAACGUUCAGCAUUAGAGAACAAUCCAGCUGGAAAGAACCAGCUAAGCAAUUCCAAGCUUUUUGCUCUCUGCACUUUUUCUAGUGAUAUUUUUCUCAUUUAGCUUCUUAAAAAAGAAAGACCCUAAUAACAAUUUAGGUUAUUGUCCCCUUUGGCUAAUGGGGAUUACCUUGUUGUGGGCUCCAGGGGUGGGGCUAUGGAAUAACUAUGGCUAUGGAAUCCAACUGUCCACGCUGAAGCGGAAGGCAUGUUCAUCUAAUAAAGGCUGCCCCUGCUCCAGUACUGGAGAAAAGUGUAAGACAAGCCUUCCAAAUGCAGUAUUCAUUAUAAGGAUAUUUCUCUAUAAAAUUCAGAGCAGGUCAGGGUUUCUGGUGGGACUGGUGAUGAGCUCUAGUCUGAUUUUGGCUGAGUCGCCCUUUUAUUUCCACUGCUCUUCUUUACUGUGUCUGGUAUAGUGUCCAUGGCUCUUCCUUCUUACGGCUUAGCAUACUCAAGGCUCACCAGAUUCAGUGGUAAACAAUGAGUAAAAAUGAUAUCAUCACAUCCAGCUCCUUCAGGUCCCUAUUUGUGGCCACUGAGUUCAGCUGAAUGCUUUGACCAGGAGCAGCCUCCACCACAAACCCAACAGGCAGCUCAGGGCCACACCACUGGCCCUCCAGUGAGACCAAGCACUGGAUGCUGCAGCUCAUGGUAUGCACCCAAAGCAGCAAGCACUGAUAACAGGGAAGCAGAUUGGAAGUAGGGAAAUUACCACUUUCUGAGUAAGCAUGUGCACACACAGGUCAACAUACAUUCUCAUAAACUGAGAUCCUUAUUUUUUAAACAGGUUUCUGAGGUCCUAUCUGAGUUUUCAAGUUUUCUAUGCUUUCUGAAUUUUUAUUUUGCUCUCUUGCAUGUUGCCCUUUUCAAACUAUUAACUUGUGCAGGGGUGAAUUCUACUGAGUUUAAGCAACAGCAGAGGCUGUCUGGCCAACAGCAUAUGUUGUAUUUCCAUGUAAUUUCUCCAUUUUCUUCCAAAUGCUCAAGGGAAUCUGGCUGUAGAAAGUCCAUAUUGGAACUUUACCUGGUAUACAAGUUGCGGACUCAAGUGCUGAAAUAGAAUUCAGCUUUUGUAGAUCUUAGACUUGGCAAAGCAUUUGGAAAAACUACAAGCACCCAUUACUGCUAUACUGAGACGGAAAUGUUGCCAGAUAUUUCUGAACAGUUUUGCAUAAAUUUCAAUAUAUAUGUUCUUAUUUAGCAAGUGUUUAUUUAGCUAUCACUGUAGUCUUCCUUUAAGGGUCCAGGAAGGGCCCAGGGAGAGCGACAAAACCACCAGCUUUUGCUAAGGAAUGAUAUGCCCUGCAGCCAUACUGUGUACUUAGAGUCUGGAAACAAAUUUUAGGGCCUAGAUUUAUUUAUACUGUUUAAUAGAUGCUUUGAUAAUUAUUUGCAUGGGAAUGGAAAACAAAUUCUCCAGAUUAAAAACCAUAAAGAAAGCUUGUUUGGAUUAGCAUGAUCAACCAAAAGCAUCCAUUUGAUUCUUGGUAUAUAUAUAAUUUACUGAGCUGCAAAAUAAACACACUCUACUGUUCCUCUGUUGAAGACUCCAGCUGUAAAUAUUUCAUUACUUUAAAAAUGUAUUGCUAUUAGAUAGGUCUCUUAUUG